AUGGCCGGCUUCGCCCUGGUCGGCCCGCCGGAGGCCGCGACCGCACUUGGCGCGGCCGCGGCGGCGCCAACGGGCGACACGUUCGUCGACCUGCUGGACGCCAGCUUCAACAAGGCGACGGUCGGGGCGGGGAAGGCGCUGACGGAGAACUCCUCGCCGACGUUCGUGUCCUCGGGGGACCCCUGCCUCGACUUCUUCUUCCACGUGGUGCCCGGCACGCCGGCCGCCUCCGUCGCCUCGCUGCUCGCCGCCGCCUGGGCCGCCGACCCGGUCUCCGCGCUCCGCCUCGUCGCCAACCUCCGCGGCGUGCGCGGCUCCGGCAAGUCCGACCGCGAGGGCUUUUACGCCGCCGCGCUCUGGCUCCACGCCCGCCACCCGGCCACGCUCGCGCGCAACGCCGCCUCCGUCGCCGCCUUCGGCUACCUCAAGGACCUGCCCGAGCUGCUCCACCGCAUCGUGCACGGCGGCAAGUCCACCCGGACCCCCGGCAAGAAGGCCCGCCGCGAAGCGGAGGACGGCGGCUUCGUACGCCGCGGCGGCCGCGGGCGGGGGAGAGGCCGCAAGCCGCGCAGCGAGGACCGCGCGCCGCCCGUCGGCGCGUCGGAGGAGCGUGUCGCGGCUAGCCUGGAGCGUGAUAGGGGGCUCGCGGCCGCGGCCGCGUUGUCGCGUCGGGCCAAGAGGGCGGAGGCCGCGGCGAGGGCGUUGGAGAUGUACAGCCGCGACUCCACGUACCGGUCCCUGCACGACCGCACGGCCGACCUGUUCGCCGAGCUCCUCGCGGAGGACAUGCGCAAGCUGUCUGUCGGCAAUGUCAAGGAUUUCUCGCUCGCGGCCAAGUGGUGCCCGUCGCUGGACUCGUCCUACGACCGCUCCACCCUCCUCUGCGAGGCCAUCGCGCGGCGGCUCUUCCCCAGAGGCUCGUCGUCGGAGCUCGGCGACGACCUCCCGGACGCGCACUACGCGUACCGCGCGCGCGAGCGCCUCCGCAGAGCGGCCAUCGUGCCGCUCCGCGCCGCGCUUAAGCUCCCCGAGGUGUUCAUCUCGGCGCGCGCCUGGGAGUCCGUGGUGUACACGCGCGUGGCCUCCGUGGCCAUGAAGAACUACAAGGACCUCUUCCUCAAGCACGACGCCGAGCGCUUCAACGCAUACCUCGCCGAUGUCAAGUCCGGCAAGAAGCGGAUCGCCGCGGGCGCGCUGCUCCCGCAUCAGAUCAUCGAGUCCCUCGGCGAAGAUGGGGACGACGGCGGAGUGGCCGACCUGCAGUGGCAGCGCAUGGUCGACGACAUGCGCGCUCUCGGCAAGCUCAACAGCUGCGUGGCCGUGUGCGACGUGUCCGGAAGCAUGUCCGGCCUGCCCAUGGACGUCUGCAUCGCGCUUGGCCUCCUCGUGUCCGAGCUCACCGACGACCCGUGGCGCGGCCGCGUGAUCACCUUCAGCGAGCAACCGAACAUCCACAUGAUCAAGGGCGACACCCUUUCCGAAAAGACUGAAUUCGUCCGGAACAUGGAUUGGGGUAUGAACACCGACUUCCAGGCAGUGUUCGACAAGAUCCUGGAGGUGGCCGUGGGCGCCGGCCUGCCGGCGGAGAAGAUGGUGCGGCGGGUGUUCGUGUUCAGCGACAUGGAGUUCGACCAGGCGUCGGCGAACCCGUGGGAGACAGACUACGAGGCAAUCGUGAGGAAGUUCUCGGAAGCUGGCUACGGCGCCGCCGUGCCGGAGAUAGUGUUCUGGAACCUGAGGGACUCCAGGGCCGUGCCGGUGAUGUCCGGACAGAAGGGGGUGGCGCUCGUCAGCGGGUUCUCCAAGAACUUGCUCAAGCUGUUCCUCGAUGGCGGUGGCACGUUCACCCCGAGGGUCGUCAUGGAAAAGGCAAUCGCCGGACCGGAGUAUGAUCAGUUGGCCGUGUUCGAUUGA
This 1914-nucleotide ribosomal RNA is filed under the name Triticum aestivum (bread wheat). Its description in RNAcentral is "partial small subunit ribosomal RNA". The record is from RNAcentral. Lineage: Eukaryota; Viridiplantae; Streptophyta; Magnoliopsida; Poales; Poaceae.